CAAUAGCGUAUAUUUAAGUUGUUGCAGUUAAAAAGCUCGUAGUUGGAUUUCGGAUGGGAUUUGCCGGUCCGUCGUUACGAUGUGCACUGGCCCGUCCUAUCUUGUUGUCGGGGACUAGCUCCUUGGAUUCACUUCCUGGGACUAGGAGCUGACGAGGUUACUUUGAGUAAAUUAGAGUGUUCAAAGCAAGCCUACGCUCUGAAUACAUUAGCAUGGAAUAACACGAUAGGACUCUGGCUUAUCUUGUUGGUCUGUGAGACCAGAGUAAUGAUUAAGAGGGACAGUCGGGGACAUUCGUAUUUCAUUGUCAGAGGUGAAAUUCUUGGAUUUAUGAAAGACGAACUUCUGCGAAAGCAUUUGUCAAGGAUGUUUUCAUUAA
Molecule: ribosomal RNA, 379 nt
Filed under: uncultured eukaryote
Lineage: Eukaryota
Description: partial 18S ribosomal RNA
Rfam family: Eukaryotic small subunit ribosomal RNA
Source: RNAcentral